This 765-nucleotide long non-coding RNA is filed under the name Panax ginseng (ginseng). RNAcentral's name for it is "long non-coding RNA (PGIN_LNC000430)". Lineage: Eukaryota; Viridiplantae; Streptophyta; Magnoliopsida; Apiales; Araliaceae. The record is from RNAcentral.
GACGAUCCGUAAGAUGGAGCAGGAUGAAAAGCUUCAACUGAAUAUACGGCAGCAGCUCGAGCAAGAGAUCCGAGAACUCAAGGCUCUUCGGGACCUUGGGCCUCCUUUAACUGAUGCUCUUCGCAAAGAAAUUUGUGAAGAGUAUAGGAACUCGGACGAAAUAAACGGAGAAAUCAUGAGGAUUCACAAAGAAAGCUACGAGCUCUGCCGAAGUCUUGGCAAGGAAAGGUUGAUCAAGGCUAACUUAGAUCCUUACCUGCUGGACUCUUCGGAUGAUGAUGGCGCUGCAUGAAGCACCAGCUUAGGAUUGUCUUCGGUCUUAUUAUGAAUAUUUGUAAAAAUUUUAUGUUAUUUCCUUAUUUGUAAAUGAACAUAAAUAUUAAUGAGAAAUUAUUUCCUUUCUUAUGACUUCAGUGCACUUUUUAUUUUAUGUCAAUACUUCAAUAUGAAUUUAUAUGGACAAGUGUACAAAAAACCCCUUCGAGGAUUUAACUUCAAAUGAUUAAGCAUGUCAUAUAACAGAUGAGAUAAGUUUUAAAGAACGAGGCAUUCCGAACUCAACACUUAGAAAAGACUCAGGUAAUAAAGUAAAGAGAUACUUAUCAAGUUACCGAAGUGCGAGACAUCCGCUUUAUUGAGAGUUUGUUUACCCCGAAAGGCCUAACAGAACUUCAAGAUAACAUUCGCCUACCACGAAGGGCCUGCCGAAGUUUAAAGUGUCGAUCAUUGCCUACCACGAAGGGCCUGACAAUGUCUUAAAGAUGA